AAAUAUUAUGUGUGCGCACUUAAUUAGUUCUCUUGCCCAAUCCCCCACAUUUCUUUAUUUUCUUCUCUUUUUUUUUUCUCUCUCUCUCCCUCCAUCCCCCUCUUCUCUCUCUCUCUUCAUUUUCUUUCUCUCUCUGGCCUCUCAUCUGCUCCACUGGCAACAAAGAUUCCUCUGCUGGUCUUCUUCUCCUCCCUCCUCUGCAGUUCUAGAGAGAGAGAGAGAGAGAGAGAGAUUGGGUUUAGAGAGAGAGAGAGAGAUUGGGUUUAGAGAGAGAGAGAGAGAGAUGCCCCCAAGAGCCUAUGUACUAAUCUUCUUUUGCUGGGCUCUAAUCACCAUUAUCACCCCUACCCUCAUCUUCUGGUCUGCUUCAGCAAAACCAAACCUCGGUUCUCACGGAGAAGCUAUGAAUGAAAUAAAAUCAAGGAGAAUGAUGAGCUCAAUGGAAAAUCCACACUACUUGGAGAUCAAGAAUAGAAUAAUAGUAAAUACGACAGCAUUUUCGCCGGCGCCGGCCCCGGCGCCUUCGCCUCUUCCUAUGAGAGGGAUUGAUACACUUAGGUAACUACAAAUUAAGAGAUCGAUCUACUUAUUUUCCUUUCUUUUUUUUACAAUUUAUUUUCCUUUUUAUUUAUUGUUUGGAGAUAUAGAGAGAGAAAGAGAGAGGGGGGGAUUUUAGGAGGAUGAGUUGAUCUACAAUAAUAUUAUAGAAUAAGAAGUGGCCGCAGAUCUUGUUCUUACACCAUUCGAUAGGAAGAGAUUUGUUGUUACUUAAUUAUAUCUCCUUCAUUAAUUUUUUUCCCAUGUAAAGCUCCAAUAGAUUCAUAAUAGAUUCAUAAUGACUAUUAUUAUUAUUAUUAUUAUUAUUAUUGAUUCAUAUAUAUUCUUGUUCUCUAUUUCUACUAUUAAAUGUAUCCUGUGUUUGGUUUGGUAAAGUUAAAUUGUAAUAUGCAAUUUGAGAGAAAUUAAAGUGCAUUUGUGGGUG
Molecule: long non-coding RNA, 982 nt
Organism: Ananas comosus (pineapple)
Lineage: Eukaryota; Viridiplantae; Streptophyta; Magnoliopsida; Poales; Bromeliaceae
Exons: 2
Source: RefSeq, a predicted model, not a curated record